RNAcentral lists this ribosomal RNA (1533 nucleotides) under Triticum aestivum (bread wheat). Its description in RNAcentral is "partial small subunit ribosomal RNA". Lineage: Eukaryota; Viridiplantae; Streptophyta; Magnoliopsida; Poales; Poaceae. The record is from RNAcentral.
AUGGAAGUGGCGUUAGCUAGCGCUGCCUUAAGCGUUAGCUUAAAAUUGGCCGCAUCUCCAGUCUUGAAGAAGCUCCAAUCUAAUGCUUCAUCAUAUCUUGGAGUGGACAUGGCACACGAACUCCAUGAACUAGAGGCCACUAUCUUGCCACAGCUGAAGUUGUUGACUGAAGCAGCAGACAAGGGAAAUCACAGGCCCAGGUUGGACAAUUGGCUUCGGGAACUCAAAGAAGCACUCUACCUGGCCAAAGAAUUGCUCGAUGAGAGUGAUUACAACCGCCUCAAGCGCCAAGCAAAGGGGAAGGAUUCCUUGCAAGCCAAUGCCUCCUCCAUCAGCAACACUCUUAUGAAGCCUUUGCGUGUUGCAUCGAGCAGGCUGUCCAAUCUGAGUUCAGAGAACAGAAAGCUAAUUCGCCAUCUUAAGGAACUGAAGGCCACCCUCGCGAAAGCCAAGGACUUCCAUCAACUGCUCUGUUUACCUGCUGGUUAUAAUGCAGAGAGCCCUGCCAUACCAUCAACUCAUGUUCAUGUGACCACAUCAGUACCACCUUUCAAAGUGAUUGGUCGUGAUAAUGAUUGCGAUCAUACAAUACAUCUUACCAAAACGACUGCUACUACUGAGUCUAGUACAGCUAUGUACUCCGGUUUGGCCAUUGUUGGGGAUGGAGGGAUGGGAAAGUCCACCUUGGCACAACUUGUCUAUAAUGAUGAGAGAGUAAUAGAAUGUUUUGAUGUGAGGAUGUGGGUAAGCAUCUCACGCAAGCUUGAUGUCCGCCGUCAUACACGAGAGAUCAUCGAGUCUGCCUCAAAGGGGAAAUGUCCAAGCAUCAAUAACCUUGAUACUCUGCAUCACAAGUUGAUUGACAUACUGCAAGAGUCAGGGAAAUUCCUACUAGUGUUAGAUGAUGUUUGGUUUGAACCUGGCAGUGAGAAGGAAUGGGACCAACUGUUGGCUCCUUUAGUUUCUCAAAAUACAGGAAGUAAAGUUUUGGUAACUUCUCGACAAGAUAGAUUUCCAGCUGCUUUCUGCUGUGAGGUGUGCCCUCUGAAAAACAUGAAAGAUGAUCACUUCUUGGCACUCUUCAAGCAUCAUGCAUUUGCUGGACUAGAAAUCAUAAAUCAACUAUCGUGUGAAAGGCUUGAAGAUUUUGCAGAGAAGAUUGCUAAAAGGCUUGGACGAUCUCCUUUGGCGGCCAAAGUUGUGGGUUCCCAGUUGAAAGGGAAAACAGAUAUAUCUGCAUGGAAGGAUGCUCUGAAUAUAAAGAAUGAUAAAUUAAGUGAGCCCAUGAGAGCUCUGUUGUGGAGUUAUGAGAAGUUAGAUCCAUGUCUACAGAGGUGCUUCCUAUAUUGCAGCUUGUUUCCAAAAGGCCACAAGUAUGUCAUUGAUGAGUUAGUUUAUCUUUGGAUGGCAGAGGGCCUUGUUGAGUCGUGCAACAAAAACAAGAGAGUGGAAGAUGUUGGGAGGGAUUGCUUCAGUGAAAUGAUCUCUGUUUCGUUCUUUCAACCAGUUGAUGAGAAACACACCGACACUUAG